RNAcentral lists this ribosomal RNA (694 nucleotides) under Coralliophila meyendorffii. RNAcentral describes it as "partial 16S ribosomal RNA". It matches the Rfam family "Bacterial large subunit ribosomal RNA", at positions 1817 to 2925 of the family's 2925-position model. The record is from RNAcentral. Lineage: Eukaryota; Metazoa; Mollusca; Gastropoda; Neogastropoda; Muricidae.
GGCUCCGUGUCAGGUAGAAAAUACGGAGUCGGACCUGCCCGGUGAUUAGUUUUUAACGGCCGCGGUACUCUGACCGUGCAAAGGUAGCAUAAUAACUUGCCUUAUAAUUGAAGGCUGGAAUGAAUGGUUUGACAAGAAUAAAGCUGUCUCUUUGUAGUUAACUAGAACUUUAUUUAUAGGUGAAAAAGCCUAUAUGGUAUUGAUAGACAAGAAGACCCUAUCGAGCUUUAAAAAAUUGUUAUGGAUAAUUGCAGGCAUUUUGGUUGGGGCGACAGAGGAACAGAUAAGCUUCCUUGGAAAAUGAUACAGGCGUGAUGAUCCAGAACUUCUGAUUAACGGAAUUAGUUACCGUAGGGAUAACAGCAUGAUCCCCUUUGAGAGCCCACAUCGAAAAGGGGGUUUGUGACCUCGAUGUUGGACCAGGGUAUCCUGAAGAUGCAGCAGUCUUCAAGGGUUGGUCUGUUCGACCAUUAAAACCCUACGUGAUCUGAGUUCAGACCGGCGUGAGCCAGGUCAGUUUCUAUCUUCAAUUUUCAAAGUGGUUUUAGUACGAAAGGACCAAGCCACUUCAAGGAUUUGGUUUACCAGAAAAGAUAUAAUAUAUGCUUAAUCAAAUUAGCAGAAAAUAAUGCAACUGACUUAGGAUCAGUGGAUAUGGUGAAAACCCUUAUUUGAUAAUAAAGGUGGCAGAAUA